Molecule: ribosomal RNA, 468 nt
Filed under: uncultured bacterium
Lineage: Bacteria
Description: partial 16S ribosomal RNA
Rfam family: Bacterial small subunit ribosomal RNA
Source: RNAcentral
GACGAACGCUGGCGGCGUGCUUAACACAUGCAAGUCGAACGGAAAGGCCCUGCUUUUGUGGGGUGCUCGAGUGGCGAACGGGUGAGUAACACGUGAGUAACCUGCCCUUGACUUUGGGAUAACUUCAGGAAACUGGGGCUAAUACCGGAUAGGAGCUCCUGCUGCAUGGUGGGGGUUGGAAAGUUUCGGCGGUUGGGGAUGGACUCGCGGCUUAUCAGCUUGUUGGUGGGGUAGUGGCUUACCAAGGCUUUGACGGGUAGCCCGCCUGAGAGGGUGAACGGGCCCCAUGGGACUGAGAUACGGCCCAGACUCCUACGGGAGGCAGCAGUGGGGAAUAUUGCACAAUGGGCGGAAGCCUGAUGCAGCAACGCCGCGUGCGGGAUGACGGCCUUCGGGUUGUAAACCGCUUUCGCCUGUGACGAAGCGUGAGUGACGGUAAUGGGUAAAGAAGCACCGGCUAACUACGUG